Molecule: ribosomal RNA, 578 nt
Filed under: uncultured bacterium
Lineage: Bacteria
Description: bacterial SSU rRNA
Rfam family: Bacterial small subunit ribosomal RNA
Source: RNAcentral
ACGGGUGAGUAACACGUGAGUAACCUGCCCUUGACUCUGGGAUAAGCCUGGGAAACUGGGUCUAAUACCGGAUAUGACUCCUCAUCGCAUGGUGGGGGGUGGAAAGCUUUUGUGGUUUUGGAUGGACUCGCGGCCUAUCAGCUUGUUGGUGAGGUAAUGGCUCACCAAGGCGACGACGGGUAGCCGGCCUGAGAGGGUGACCGGCCACACUGGGACUGAGACACGGCCCAGACUCCUACGGGAGGCAGCAGUGGGGAAUAUUGCACAAUGGGCGGAAGCCUGAUGCAGCGACGCCGCGUGAGGGAUGACGGCCUUCGGGUUGUAAACCUCUUUCAGUAGGGAAGAAGCGAAAGUGACGGUACCUGCAGAAGAAGCGCCGGCUAACUACGUGCCAGCAGCCGCGGUAAUACGUAGGGCGCAAGCGUUAUCCGGAAUUAUUGGGCGUAAAGAGCUCGUAGGCGGUUUGUCGCGUCUGCCGUGAAAGUCCGGGGCUCAACUCCGGAUCUGCGGUGGGUACGGGCAGACUAGAGUGAUGUAGGGGAGACUGGAAUUCCUGGUGUAGCGGUGAAAUGCGCAGA